GGUCCUAUGGUAUUAGCGGAAAACAUACUCCCCUGUCACGGGAGAGUCACGGGUUCGAAUCCCGUUAGGACCGCCA
Molecule: transfer RNA, 76 nt
Filed under: Pectobacterium phage POP15
Lineage: Duplodnaviria; Heunggongvirae; Uroviricota; Caudoviricetes
Also listed under: 1 other name
Description: tRNA-Asp
Rfam family: tRNA
About the family: Transfer RNA (tRNA) molecules are approximately 80 nucleotides in length. Their secondary structure includes four short double-helical elements and three loops (D, anti-codon, and T loops).
Source: RNAcentral